GGAGAGGUGUCCGAGUGGCUGAAGGAGCACGCCUGGAAAGUGUGUAUACGUUAAUAGCGUAUCGAGGGUUCGAAUCCCUCCCUCUCCG
Marinobacter lutaoensis is the source of this 88-nucleotide transfer RNA. It matches the Rfam family "tRNA". From Rfam's summary of the family: Transfer RNA (tRNA) molecules are approximately 80 nucleotides in length. Their secondary structure includes four short double-helical elements and three loops (D, anti-codon, and T loops). The record is from Rfam. NCBI's taxonomy places the organism in Bacteria, Pseudomonadati, Pseudomonadota, Gammaproteobacteria, Pseudomonadales, Marinobacteraceae.